UGGGGAAUAUUGCACAAUGGGCGCAAGCCUGAUGCAGCCAUGCCGCGUGUAUGAAGAAGGCCUUCGGGUUGUAAAGUACUUUCAGUCGGGAGGAAGGUGGUAAGGUUAAUAACCUUGGCAAUUGACGUUACCCGCAGAAGAAGCACCGGCUAACUCCGUGCCAGCAGCCGCGGUAAUACGGAGGGUGCAAGCGUUAAUCGGAAUUACUGGGCGUAAAGCGCACGCAGGCGGUCUGUCAAGUCGGAUGUGAAAUCCCCGGGCUUAACCUGGGAACUGCAUUCGAAACUGGCAGGCUAGAGUCUUGUAGAGGGGGGUAGAAUUCCAGGUGUAGCGGUGAAAUGCGUAGAGAUCUGGAGGAAUACCGGUGGCGAAGGCGGCCCCCUGGACGAAGACUGACGCUCAGGUGCGAAAGCGUGGGGAGCAAACAGG
This 429-nucleotide ribosomal RNA is filed under the name Chloroflexota bacterium. RNAcentral's name for it is "Chloroflexi bacterium partial 16S ribosomal RNA". It matches the Rfam family "Bacterial small subunit ribosomal RNA", at positions 355 to 776 of the family's 1533-position model. The record is from RNAcentral. Lineage: Bacteria; Bacillati; Chloroflexota.